Homo sapiens (human) is the source of this 850-nucleotide long non-coding RNA. Ensembl annotates it as MAGEA4 antisense RNA 1. Its record names the gene MAGEA4-AS1. Lineage: Eukaryota; Metazoa; Chordata; Mammalia; Primates; Hominidae. The record is from Ensembl.
GUUGGUUUCAGGUUGUAAUUAGCAGAUCUCCGGAACCAUACUGCCUUAACCAACCCAAUUUUCCUGCUGUCCUGCUAUUACCCUAGGGUUACUGGAAUCGUGUUUUGAGGUGCUGCCUCAGAUUGUGCAGUGCAGUGAGGUGGAGAUUUUAAAAUGUUCAUCCUAUUCAUUCUGUCAUCUGACGUCUAGGCAGGCUAUAGACUUCAACAUCCCUGCAGCCAACCCCCCUCCAACUGACACCGCCCCAAACAUAAGUACCAGUUCAACACAGUCCUCAGUCUCACCCAGGACUUUCUGUGUUUUGUUGCUUAGAUUUUAUUGCUUAUAUUGUUGUUUUUUCUUUCUUUCUUUUUCUCUUCUAUAAUUUUCCAGAGUUGAUUUGGGAACCAGAGAACAGCAGCCUAAGUGUGACUGUAAUUUUUGGCAGCUACAGCUACACAAUCCAUGGCAUUUUGUUAUGGAAGUCAAAGCUAACUAAGACAUAACCCCAGAUUCCCAAGACAACUAGGAAGGGAAAAGGAACCCUUCAAGGAAGUUCCAGGAAAAACGUCUCUCCCAAAAAGACCACCGCUUCAGGAAAACCUGAGGAAGGGAGUGGGCCAACAGUAUCCUGCCACUGUGACCAGCUGAACGAGGAACUCCAUCAAAAUGAGCCACAGCUGGACCAAAACAGUGAGGAGACCUCCACCUUCUUCAGUGUCUCCCUGAGCAGUCAGUAAUUUCAGGGCAAGCUGAGAGGUCUCCAGAGGUCUAACCCCAGAUAAAUAGCCAACAGGGUCUAGAGUACAUUUUAUACCCAACAGGGUAUACCCCAUGGUGAUCAAAAUAAAAUAAACCUGUUGUAAAAUGA